Clupea harengus (Atlantic herring) is the source of this 3166-nucleotide long non-coding RNA. Lineage: Eukaryota; Metazoa; Chordata; Actinopteri; Clupeiformes; Clupeidae. The record is from Ensembl.
UUCCAGUCCGUUGUGCCCGCCAAUUGUCUUUUGUAUUACGCCCCAGCUGGCUAGAGGAGGGGCGAGCCACGCAGACAGAGCUUCCAGAAGAAGCGAAAGAUGGCGGUAAGUAGGUCUAUGGAACACUGUGUUACUUUAGUUUUAGGAUACAUUUACAAAUAUAUUUGCAACGGUAUACCUUACAGACUGAUUAGGCGAUGCACUGAUAAAUUGCAUAUUGUUUAUGGUUAGAGAGAGCGUAGGUAAUGUUCUUAUUUUCUCAUAUGUAUUAUAGCGGUUCCUUUGUCGAAUGAACUUGAGUUCUCACCGAAAGUUUCCUUUUGGUGUUAUCCACAUAAUUCUGAUAUUUGUAGCGUUUGUUUUUAAAUCAGCAUCCUUUCCGGUAAUUUUUCAACACCAAUUGUUGCUUAGUUUAUUCAAGCUAUAAUCGGCUAGUUUGACCUUUUUUACCCAUGGAAUUACCCAGUUACAGGGGAACUUGUCGUAGAUUUUGCAUUUUAAAUCAGAACUCUUUAUGGGAAAUCAGAUAUGUUUAUUUCUUAACAAUGUCCUUGUCAAUUGAUUUGUUCCUAUUAGAAAAGCUUAUAGGCCUAUCAUAACAGUUCUUUUUAGUUUCGUGCACGGUAAUUACCGACAUAUUACUGAUGCUUAUUUUAGAUAACGGCGUGUGUCAGCCAAAUUUACACAUCCCUGUUAAAUAGGCAACAGAAGAAACAUAUUAGUUUAGUUGUAACAAAUUAUUUUAACAGUGCCAUUACGGUUGUAACUGUAAUACAGUUUUUUCCCCGAAGGGGUAGGGUGGGGUGGUAGUCAAACGUUUUGCUUUUAAUGUCAUAUAGUGAAACGUUAAAAUGUUGCUGUUACAGUAUCUAGUUCAAUAGGCCGAGUAAGACUGUGAACAAUAGAUUACAUCUCGGUAAGAAGGUUAUGUAAUCAAUACACAUCUCUUCGAGUGUUCUAAGGUCAAAUUGUUUAAUUCAGUAAUGUCAUAGACAUUUAUUUUCUUUAAAAUAGGCUUCCUUAAAAAAAUGUAAAUCAGUAACUGUCUGAUACACUCAAACAUCCUAGUUUAACAGAGCUUUUUGUGUCCUGUGUCUUGAACUGUUUAAUGUUGCCUCGAGGUAGCAAUAAGACAUAAUAAUCCUUUGUUACUGUAGCGAGUACUCAACACAAGGGGGCGAUAUUACUGCCUGGUCCAGGAGGAGGAGAGCGAAGUAGAAACGCUGCUUCUUUCCUUCCGUUUUUUCUUUUAUUCUCUGUCCCUUCAGUUGUGGGAUUCCUCUUAUACUGCUAAGCUACUAUACUUAGACUAGAUUUGAGCUACAUUUUGUUGAUCUGUUGUAACGUUUAUAGCUCUUCAUAAGCAUUCCGUUUGCUUAAUAAUAAUAAUAAUAAUAAUAAUAAUAAUACAAUGAUGUCAGUGAAAUACAAUAAUCAGUCCUAUCAAAACUACAGGCAUUUAAGCCUAGUUGAAUUAAAAUCAUAACAACCAAGUGUCUGUGGUCUCAACAUUCACUUCUGCCUCCUCUUUCUUCUUCUGUGGGGGUGAAUGCAAUGUAGCAGCACCCAGCCCUCAUACGCUUCAUGUGGAAAGACUGGAGGUGACGCCCUGCCCGCCCAGGGGGAUCGUGAUUGUGAUGGUGGUCAGUGGCCGUCCACACCAAAGGGUGGGCCUGAGCGGAAGCCCCUGUCAGGACCAGGAUGUCCUGAGUUUAGGGCAGAGUAGUUUAGAGGAGCAUGCCAUACUCCCCUCUCUGCCCUGUAACCCCUGAUGGCAUGAACAUAAUGCCAUGCCAGGCCAAGAUGAUGUAACAGGAACACAGCAGCAUCAGUAUGGUAGUGACAGCCUGUUCCAGCCUCAUGUCAGUCUGAGAUGGAGGAAAUUAUGAUCGCUGUGUUUACACUAAGCAAACACACAACCGAUGAGUGGAACUUCCCACUAUGUCUUCAGCUCGGAGGCAUCAAGACUUACUUUGUUCUCUGAAGAAAUGACUGAUAAAAGAGGACAACGCCUGGUGUCAGAGAUCAGCACAUCCUCUUCACAAGCGUCAAUCUGAGCCAGAUCGGCAAGAUCUAUGGGCCAUUGCAGAAGACAGCCUUCACUUAUACAGACACUGAUCAGCACAUCCUCUUCACUUCACUACAGAUGUGCACCAUAACCCUAACCCAUUGCAGAAGACAGCCUUCACUUAUACAGACACUGACUCACUACAGAUGUGCACCACAGGCAUACGUGGACAAAACACAACAUUGAGCUCAUUUUAAAUGACCAUCUUGGACAGAAUUGCCUUCAGUUUGAGAAAUUAAAUCAAUUACUAUUAAUGAUAGAAUCAAAGAAUCUCUCAAGCCGGUACAUUCCGUGUCUUUCACCUCUCCUAUGGCUGUCAUGUUGUUGUGAGGAGGAGUUGCUUGACAUAUUGUUGCUCCUCAGUGAGUCCUUUCCCUGUGUUAUGGCAAACUGUCCUCUGGUGGUUUGAAAUAAAUCAUCUACUUCACCCGAGUCUCUUCCUUGUGUGUCUUCCUCUGGUGUGACAGACUUUCACAUUAAAUUACACCGUUUUCCCUGACAUUUCAACGGCUAAUUGAGUUAUCCAGGAAUACAUUACAGCGCUCCGGCUCAGUUUGGUUACAAACAGUCUCACGGUGGCUGAGCAACAGCUAAUUUCGUUAGUAAUGUUUCUUUAAAUAACCCAUCAAUAUUGGAUUGAGCUCAUAGCAACAGACAAUAGAAGGUGGAAAGUCUCAAAGUUUUAACCCAGUUCUUAAUAACAGAACUUGCCCCUAAACCCCAUUUUUGGGAAAAGUGAUCUUAAGGUGUGAGCAAACUUUCUACACCUACAAGUGGGGUAAUCAAACUAUUCCUUCCUUUCUCUUGUUUUCUGUGCGAAUAUGUAGAUCCAAAUCAUGUCAAAGUGUUCUGCUAAUUGUUACCCAAUCAUACACAGAUAUUGCUUCUAAUGUCCCUCAGCAGGUGCAUCUGGAGAAUCAGACUAGACGUUCAGUAAAUGUCAACUGUCAGCCUCUCACUUUCCUGCAGUCAGUCAGCCAGUGAGACACCCAAUGCCAACUCUCUCUGUGUGACUGGAAACAAACAGUCGAGUCCUAACUAUGUGCUGUCUCUGGUCUUAAUCACUACUCAAGCUGGCACCAGGUCCCCAUUAGUGAG